This 465-nucleotide ribosomal RNA is filed under the name uncultured bacterium. RNAcentral describes it as "partial 16S ribosomal RNA". It matches the Rfam family "Bacterial small subunit ribosomal RNA", at positions 28 to 507 of the family's 1533-position model. The record is from RNAcentral.
GACGAACGCUGGCGGCGUGCUUAACACAUGCAAGUCGAACGGAAAGGCCCCUUUGGGGGUACUCGAGUGGCGAACGGGUGAGUAACACGUGAGUAACCUGCCCUUGACUCCGGGAUAACUUCAGGAAACUGGGGCUAAUACCGGAUAGGAAUCCUUGCUGCAUGGUGGGGGUUGGAAAGCUUCGGCGGUUUUGGAUGGACUCGCGGCUUAUCAGCUUGUUGGUGGGGUAGUGGCUUACCAAGGCUUUGACGGGUAGCCGGCCUGAGAGGGCGACCGGCCACAUUGGGACUGAGAUACGGCCCAGACUCCUACGGGAGGCAGCAGUGGGGAAUAUUGCACAAUGGGCGGAAGCCGGAUGCAGCAACGCCGCGGGCGGGAUGACGGCCUUCGGGUUGUAAACCGCUUUCAGCAGGGGCGAAGCUUGUGGUGACGGUACCUGCAGAAGAAGCACCGGCUAACUACGUG